This 1240-nucleotide ribosomal RNA is filed under the name metagenome. RNAcentral describes it as "bacterial LSU rRNA". It matches the Rfam family "Bacterial large subunit ribosomal RNA", at positions 1564 to 2815 of the family's 2925-position model. The record is from RNAcentral.
UGAGUACGAGACGCUACGGCGUCGAAGCAGUCUAUGUCAUACUUCCAAGAAAAGCUUGCACUGUCAUAAACAAAUAAUGCCUGUACCAUAACCGACACAGGUGGGUAGGUAGAGUAUACUAAGGGGCGCGAGAUAACUCUCUCUAAGGAACUCGGCAAAAUGACUCCGUAACUUCGGGAGAAGGAGUGCCUUAUUCUUAAGGUUGCAAUAACAAGAUCCAAGCAACUGUUUAUCAAAAACACAGGUCUCCGCUAAGUCGUAAGACGAUGUAUGGGGGCUGACGCCUGCCCAGUGCCAGAAGGUUAAAGAAGUUGGUUAGCAUUCGCGAAGCUGAUAACUGAAGCCCUGGUGAACGGCGGCCGUAACAAUAACGGUCCUAAGGUAGCGAAAUUCCUUGUCGGGUAAGUUCCGACCCGCACGAAAGGCGUAAUGAUUUGGAUACUGUCUCGGAGAGGGGCUCGGUGAAAUAGACUUGUCUGUGAAGAUGCGGACUACCUGCACCUGGACAGAAAGACCCUAUGAAGCUUUACUGUAACUUGAAAUUGAAAUUGGACUUUAUUUGCGCAGUAUAGGUGGGAGGCGUUGAGAAUAUUCUUGCGGGAAUAUUGGAGCCAUCAGUGAGAUACCACUCUUGUAAUGUUAGAUUUCUAACUUUGAAUCAUUAUCUGGUCAAAGGACAGUUUCAGGCGGGCAGUUUGACUGGGCGGUCGCCUCCUAAAUGGUAACGGAGGCGCACAAAGGUUUCCUCUGAACGGGUAGAAAUCGUAUCUAGAGUGUAAAGGCAUAAGGAAGCUUGACUGUGAGACCUACAAGUCGAGCAGGGACGAAAGUCGGUCUUAGUGAUCUGACGGUGCUGAGUGGAAAGGCCGUCACUCAACGGAUAAAAGUUACUCUAGGAUAACAGGCUGAUCUCCCCCAAGAGUUCACAUCGACGGGGAGGUUUGGCACCUCGAUGUCGGCUCAUCGCAUCCUGGGGCGGUAGUACGUCCCAAGGGUUGGGCUGUUCGCCCAUGAAAGCGGUACGCGAGCUGGGUUCAGAACGUCGUGAGACAGUUCGGUCCAUAUCCGGUGUAGGCGUUAGAAUAUUGAGAGGAGCCUUCUUUAGUACGAGAGGACCGAGAAGGACAUACCUCUGGUGUACCAGUUAUCGUGCCAACGGUAAACGCUGGGUAGCUAUGUAUGGAGAGGAUAACCGCUGAAAGCAUCUAAGUGGGAAGCCCACCUCAAGAUAAGUAUUCUC